Molecule: non-coding RNA, 808 nt
Organism: Pelobates cultripes (western spadefoot toad)
Lineage: Eukaryota; Metazoa; Chordata; Amphibia; Anura; Pelobatidae
Source: the annotation of a GenBank genome assembly
UAGACGAUUGGACCUUCUUGAGAGUGGUGAACAAUGAGAUAUGUUUUUUGAGUUCUGCAAUAAAUGAAUUGUCAAAAAGCAGGCCGUUGGCUGAAGACCCCAGUUCUUUAUGGGCCAUAUUCAUUAGCUUCGAGUUGAUUCAUAAAAGGGCCACUCUGCGUCUUUCUGUGCAUAACGCUGCGCUUGCAUUCCCCCAGCAUACUGAUACAGGGUUGUGCCCAUUCUCUGAUGGCGUUUGGGUCUGUGAGAGUGCCAGGUCCGCGAAAUACAGAAAAACAGGGGGCAAGCAAAUCCAGUAAUUUGUCGUGAGAUGCUUUGAGUCCCUUCUCGAUUCAUUUUCCGUGGGUUGCGUCAAAUUCGGGGGUUCAUGUAAUUUUAUCUGGCAGCAUGGGUCGUGGGCAUUCCACCCUAAGACGUGCUCGUACCAUCCGAUCUAUUGGCUUGCGCAUUCAGAAGUGGACGAACUUGGCUAGGUGGUUAGGCAGCUUCCAUUCUGAGGACAGUGGAUGACGGAUGGUCCGAAGGUCAAAGAGAGGGCAACCUUGAGCGUCUAGGAAUAACCCCUCACUUUCAAUUAUGAAGGAUCCUUGUGUAUCCUGUGAGAAAGAAUCCUCGGCAUAAGACUCUUUAAUGUAUUUCAAUUCCGAGUAGGUAACAUUUUGCCAGUCACACUCUUCAUCUGACUUGAAGGCCUUUCAAUGAUGACCUCAUAAUUCUGGGGAUAGGCCUCUUCCUCCUCCGAGGAAACCACCAGUGGGGGUAAUUUCGGUCUAGACAUAUGUUUGCUGCGUUUAGCAGGUGCCUUCCC